GGGGUAGAAGUCUUCGGACUUUGAGACCGGCGCACGGGUGCGUAACGCGUAUGCAAUCUACCUUGUACAGGGGAAUAGCCCAGAGAAAUUUGGAUUAAUGCCCCAUGGUAUUUUCGAAUGGCAUCAUUUGAUUAUUAAAGUUCCAACGGUACAAGAUGAGCAUGCGUCCCAUUAGCUAGUUGGUAUGGUAACGGCAUACCAAGGCUAUGAUGGGUAGGGGUCCCGAGAGGGAGAUCCCCCACACUGGUACUGAGACACGGACCAGACUCCUACGGGAGGCAGCAGUGAGGAAUAUUGGUCAAUGGGCGAGAGCCUGAACCAGCCAUGCCGCGUGCAGGAUGAAGCAUCUAUGGUGUGUAAACUGCUUUUGUACA
This 374-nucleotide ribosomal RNA is filed under the name uncultured soil bacterium. RNAcentral describes it as "bacterial SSU rRNA". It matches the Rfam family "Bacterial small subunit ribosomal RNA", at positions 66 to 442 of the family's 1533-position model. The record is from RNAcentral.